RNAcentral lists this ribosomal RNA (571 nucleotides) under uncultured Actinomycetes bacterium. RNAcentral's name for it is "bacterial SSU rRNA". It matches the Rfam family "Bacterial small subunit ribosomal RNA", at positions 752 to 1325 of the family's 1533-position model. The record is from RNAcentral. Lineage: Bacteria; Bacillati; Actinomycetota; Actinomycetes.
CGCGAAAGCUAGGGGAGCGAACAGGAUUAGAUACCCUGGUAGUCCUAGCCGUAAACGUUGGGUGCUAGGUGUGGGCGGAUAUCGACCCCGUCCGUGCCGAAGCUAACGCAUUAAGCACCCCGCCUGGGGAGUACGGCCGCAAGGCUAAAACUCAAAGGAAUUGACGGGGGCCCGCACAAGCGGCGGAGCAUGCGGCUUAAUUCGAUGCAACGCGAAGAACCUUACCUGGGCUUGACAUGCAGGGCAAAGCCGGUGAAAGCCGGCGCUCUACGGAGCCUGCACAGGUGGUGCAUGGCUGUUGUCAGCUCGUGCCGUGAGGUGUUGCCUUAAGUGGCGCAACGAGCGCAACCCUUGUCCCUAGUUGCCAGCGGGUCAUGCCGGGAACUCUAGGGAGACUGCCGGUGCCAAACCGGAGGAAGGUGGGGAUGACGUCAAGUCAUCAUGCCCCUUAUGUCCAGGGCUGCACGCAUGCUACAAUGCGCGGUACAAAGGGCUGCGAACCCGUAAGGGGGAGCGAAUCCCAAAAAGCCGCGCUCAGUUCGGAUCGGGGUCUGCAACCCGACCCCUGAAG